CCUACGGGUGGCAGCAGUGGGGAAUAUUGGACAAUGGGCGAAAGCCUGAUCCAGCCAUGCCGCGUGUGUGAAGAAGGCCUUCGGGUUGUAAAGCACUUUCAGUGGGGAAGAAAGCCUUGGGGCUAAUACCCUCGAGGAAGGACAUCACCCACAGAAGAAGCACCGGCUAACUCCGUGCCAGCAGCCGCGGUAAUACGGAGGGUGCGAGCGUUAAUCGGGAUUACUGGGCGUAAAGCGCGCGUAGGCGGUCUGAUAAGCCGGUUGUGAAAGCCCCGGGCUCAACCUGGGAACGGCAUCCGGAACUGUCAGGCUAGAGUGCAGGAGAGGAAGGUAGAAUUCCCGGUGUAGCGGUGAAAUGCGUAGAGAUCGGGAGGAAUACCAGUGGCGAAGGCGGCCUUCUGGACUGACACUGACGCUGAGGUGCGAAAGCGUGGGUAGCAAACAGGAUUAGAUACCCCGGUAGUC
Molecule: ribosomal RNA, 465 nt
Filed under: Vreelandella stevensii
Lineage: Bacteria; Pseudomonadati; Pseudomonadota; Gammaproteobacteria; Oceanospirillales; Halomonadaceae
Description: partial 16S ribosomal RNA
Rfam family: Bacterial small subunit ribosomal RNA
Source: RNAcentral